Molecule: long non-coding RNA, 930 nt
Filed under: Cyanistes caeruleus (blue tit)
Lineage: Eukaryota; Metazoa; Chordata; Aves; Passeriformes; Paridae
Description: lncRNA (ENSCCEG00000001822.1)
Source: RNAcentral
CCUCUUUUUUGGGGCUUUUUUACACUAAUUUUUUCAUCUUUUUUGGGGGCUUUUUUACACCAAAUUUUUCCUCUUUUUUUUGGGGUUUUUACACCAAAUUUUUCCUCUUUUUUUGGGCUUUUUAAACUAAAUUUUUUCCCCUUUCUUAGGGGAUUUUAAACUAAUUUUUCAUAUUUUUUGGGGGUUUUUUAAACCAAUUUUUCCUCCAUUUUUUUACCUUUUUCCUCCUCGUUUUUUUGCCGUUAUUUUCCUUUUUCUCCUGCGUUUUUCACCUUUUUUUUUCCCAUUUUCCCACUGAUUUUCCUCCUUUCCCUUCCUCAAUUUCACCUUUUUUGGGCAUUUUUAAACCAUUUCUCCCCUCCUUUUUCCACCUUUUGUUUUUCCCGUUUUUCCACCGUUUUUAGGGAUUUUUUCCCUUUUUUUUUCAAUUUUUCACCAAUUUUUUUACCAAUUUUUUCACCGUUUCUCCACUGAUUUUUCCCAUUUUUUCACCAUUUUUUCACCCAUUUUUUCCCAUUUUUGCCUCAUUUCUCCAACUUUUUUUCCCCAUUUUUCCAUCCUUUUUUUUUGCCAUUUUUUCACCGAUUUUUCCUGUUUUUUCACAGAUUUUCCCCAUUUUUUGUCUGAUUUUUUCCCCAAUUUUUUUCCCAUUUUUUUCACCUUUUUUUUCCUUAUUUUUUCCGUAUUUUCCCAGUUUUUCCCCCGUUUUUUUCUUAAUGUUUUUCCCAUUUUUUCACGGAUUUUUUCCCGUUUUUUUUCCCAUUUUUUCCUCAUUUUUUCUGAUUUUUUCCUCAUUUUUUCCUCAUUUUUUCCUCAUUUUUUUCCUCAUUUUUCCCCAUUUUUUCCUCAUUUUUUUCCCAUUUCCUCACCGAUUUUUUCUUGUUUUUCUCCCAUCUUUUCCUCAUUUUUCCCCUUUUUUUCCUCAUUUUU